Molecule: ribosomal RNA, 762 nt
Filed under: Triaenodes tardus
Lineage: Eukaryota; Metazoa; Arthropoda; Insecta; Trichoptera; Leptoceridae
Description: 12S ribosomal RNA
Source: RNAcentral
AAUAAAUAAUAUAAGAUUUUGAUUACUUCCACCAUCUUUAAAUUUUCUUCUAUUAAGAAGAUUAGUAGAAAGAGGAACAGGAACUGGUUGAACUGUCUAUCCCCCACUUGCAAGAACAGUAGGGCAUAUAGGAAGUUCUGUAGAUUUAUCAAUUUUUUCUCUUCAUAUAGCUGGUAUCUCUUCUAUUUUAGGAGCUAUUAAUUUUAUUACUACUUGUAUAAGAAUAAAACCAAUAGGUAUAAAUUUAGAUCAAAUACCCUUAUUUGUUUGAUCAGUUUUAAUUACUGCAUUAUUACUUCUCUUAUCUUUACCAGUCUUAGCCGGAGCUAUUACAAUAUUAUUAACAGAUCGUAAUCUUAAUACAUCUUUUUUUGACCCUGCCGGGGGAGGAGACCCUAUUCUAUAUCAACAUUUAUUUUGAUUUUUUGGACAUCCUGAAGUUUAUAUUUUAAUUUUACCUGGAUUCGGAAUAAUUUCUCAUGUAAUUAGACAUGAAAGAGGAAAAAAAGAAACUUUUGGCUCACUAAGAAUAAUUUAUGCUAUAUUAACUAUUGGUCUUUUAGGAUUUAUUGUAUGAGCUCAUCAUAUAUUUACAGUCGGUUUAGAUGUUGAUACUCGAGCUUAUUUUACUUCUGCAACUAUAAUUAUUGCUAUUCCCACAGGAAUUAAAAUUUUUAGAUGACUUGCUACACUUCAAGGAAUAAACUUAAAAUUUAAUGWUUCACUAKAANGAACAAACUCGAUAUCUUACUCAAAAAUUAU